UAGGGAAUAUUGCACAAUGGGGGAAACCCUGAUGCAGCGACGCCGCGUGAGUGAUGAAGGCCUUCGGGUCGUAAAGCUCUGUCGCAAGGGAAUAACAAAGUGAAUGUACCUUGCAAGAAAGGAUCGGCUAACUUCGUGCCAGCAGCCGCGGUAAGACGAGGGAUCCUAGCGUUGUUCGGAAUUAUUGGGCGUAAAGCGGGUGUAGGUGGCCAUGUAAGUCAGAUGUGAAAGCCCAGGGCUUAACCCUGGAAGUGCAUUUGAUACUGCGUGGCUUGAGUGUGGGAGAGGAUAGUAGAAUUCCUGGUGUAGUGGUGAAAUACGUAGAUAUCAGGAGGAAUACCGGAGGCGAAGGCGGCUAUCUGGCCUAACACUGACACUCAGACCCGAAAGCGUGGGGAUCAAACAGG
Molecule: ribosomal RNA, 407 nt
Filed under: uncultured bacterium
Lineage: Bacteria
Description: bacterial SSU rRNA
Rfam family: Bacterial small subunit ribosomal RNA
Source: RNAcentral